GACCAACUAAGUUUGUUCUGGCUAUAAGCUUUCGUGUGUAUCUAAAGAAGUGGGCAUGCACACAAAAGCUUAUAACCAGAACAAACUUAGUUGAAA
Podarcis lilfordi (Lilford's wall lizard) is the source of this 96-nucleotide non-coding RNA. The record is from the annotation of a GenBank genome assembly. NCBI's taxonomy places the organism in Eukaryota, Metazoa, Chordata, Lepidosauria, Squamata, Lacertidae.